UGUACCUACGGGAGGCAGCAGUGAGGAAUAUUGGUCAAUGGCCGGAAGGCUGAACCAGCCAAGCCGCGUGAAGGACGAAGGUGCCAAGCAUUGUAAACUUCUUUUGUCAAGGGACAAAAUCAGGCUCGAGAGCCUGACCGAGGGUACUUGAAGAAAAAGCAUCGGCUAACUCCGUGCCAGCAGCCGCGGUAAUACGGAGGAUGCGAGCGUUAUCCGGAUUCAUUGGGUUUAAAGGGUGCGCAGGCGGGCCUUUAAGCCGGCGGUGAAA
This 268-nucleotide ribosomal RNA is filed under the name uncultured bacterium. Its description in RNAcentral is "partial 16S ribosomal RNA". It matches the Rfam family "Bacterial small subunit ribosomal RNA", at positions 334 to 599 of the family's 1533-position model. The record is from RNAcentral.